This 501-nucleotide non-coding RNA is filed under the name Chlorocebus sabaeus (green monkey). Its description in RNAcentral is "Eukaryotic small subunit ribosomal RNA". It matches the Rfam family "Eukaryotic small subunit ribosomal RNA", at positions 637 to 1116 of the family's 1831-position model. Lineage: Eukaryota; Metazoa; Chordata; Mammalia; Primates; Cercopithecidae. The record is from Rfam by way of RNAcentral.
AACAUGGAUGAAGUUCUAAAACAUACUGUUUCUACUCCCUGACUCUUCAAAGUCCUUUUAACCUUUCUGAUGUGCUUAGCUGAGUGUCUCAUGGGGCCCAGAGUGUUUAUUGUUAAGAACAAAUAGAAAACAAAAGAAUAUUCAAAGCAGUCUCACACCACAUGGAUACCAAAGCUCACAAUUGAGUAAUAAGAUUGCAGCUCUGUUUCACUAGUUUUCAGAACUCAAGCCAUGCUUAGAGGGACAGUUUGGGAUGCUUGGCAUUGUGCAGCUAGAGGUGAAAUUCUUGUAGCCCAGAAGAACCAGAGGAAAACAUCUGCCAAGAAUGUUUUCCUUAAUCAAAGAAGAAAUUUCAUCAGAGGUUUGAUCAGAUACCUAUAGAGAGCAGAUCCCUGCAUUGUAGUCCCAAUCAAUCAUAAGCAGUGCAGACUAGGCCAUGUGACCUUGUUAUUCUCAUGACUCUUAGGGUGGCCUCCAGGAAAUCAAAAUUUUUCAGUUCUG